This 1370-nucleotide ribosomal RNA is filed under the name uncultured bacterium. Its description in RNAcentral is "16S ribosomal RNA". It matches the Rfam family "Bacterial small subunit ribosomal RNA". The record is from RNAcentral.
AGAGUUUGAUCCUGGCUCAGGACGAACGCUGGCGGCGCGCCUAACACAUGCAAGUCGAACGAGCGAGAGAGAGCUUGCUUUCUCAAGCGAGUGGCGAACGGGUGAGUAACGCGUGAGGAACCUGCCUCAAAGAGGGGGGCAACAGUUGGAAACGACUGCUAAUACCGCAUAAGCCCACAGCUCGGCAUCGAGCAGAGGGAAAAGGAGUAAUCCGCUUUGAGAUGGCCUCGCGUCCGAUUAGCUGGUUGGUGAGGUAACGGCCCACCAAGGCGACGAUCGGUAGCCGGACUGAGAGGUUGAACGGCCACAUUGGGACUGAGACACGGCCCAGACUCCUACGGGAGGCAGCAGUGGGGAAUAUUGCACAAUGGGGGAAACCCUGAUGCAGCGACGCCGCGUGGAGGAAGAAGGUCUUCGGAUUGUAAACUCCUGUUGUUGAGGAAGAUAAUGACGGUACUCAACAAGGAAGUGACGGCUAACUACGUGCCAGCAGCCGCGGUAAAACGUAGGUCACAAGCGUUGUCCGGAAUUACUGGGUGUAAAGGGAGCGCAGGCGGGAAGGCAAGUUGGAAGUGAAAUCCAUGGGCUCAACCCAUGAACUGCUUUCAAAACUGUUUUUCUUGAGUAGUGCAGAGGUAGGCGGAAUUCCCGGUGUAGCGGUGGAAUGCGUAGAUAUCGGGAGGAACACCAGUGGCGAAGGCGGCCUACUGGGCACCAACUGACGCUGAGGCUCGAAAGUGUGGGUAGCAAACAGGAUUAGAUACCCUGGUAGUCCACACUGUAAACGAUGAUUACUAGGUGUUGGAGGAUUGACCCCUUCAGUGCCGCAGUUAACACAAUAAGUAAUCCACCUGGGGAGUACGACCGCAAGGUUGAAACUCAAAGGAAUUGACGGGGGCCCGCACAAGCAGUGGAGUAUGUGGUUUAAUUCGACGGAACGCGAAGAACCUUACCAAGUCUUGACAUCCUGCGACGCACAUAGAAAUAUGUGUUUCCUUCGGGACGCAGAGACAGGUGGUGCAUGGUUGUCGUCAGCUCGUGUCGUGAGAUGUUGGGUUAAGUCCCGCAACGAGCGCAACCCUUAUGGUCAGUUACUACGCAAGAGGACUCUGGCCAGACUGCCGUUGACAAAACGGAGGAAGGUGGGGAUGACGUCAAAUCAUCAUGCCCUUUAUGACUUGGGCUACACACGUACUACAAUGGCGUUAAACAAAGAGAAGCAAGACCGCGAGGUGGAGCAAAACUCAGAAACAACGUCCCAGUUCGGACUGCAGGCUGCAACUCGCCUGCGCGAAGUCGGAAUUGCUAGUAAUCGCAGAUCAGCAUGCUGCGGUGAAUACGUUCCNCGGGCCCUUGUACACACCGCCCGU